Molecule: ribosomal RNA, 467 nt
Filed under: uncultured bacterium
Lineage: Bacteria
Description: partial 16S ribosomal RNA
Rfam family: Bacterial small subunit ribosomal RNA
Source: RNAcentral
ACGAACGCUGGCGGCGGGCUUAACACAUGCAAGUCGAACGGAAAGGCCCUGCUUUUGUGGGGUGCUCGAGUGGCGAACGGGUGAGUAACACGUGAGUAACCUGCCCUUGACUUUGGGAUAACUUCAGGAAACUGGGGCUAAUACCGGAUAGGAGCUCCUGCUGCAUGGUGGGGGUUGGAAAGUUUCGGCGGUUGGGGAUGGACUCGCGGCUUAUCAGCUUGUUGGUGGGGUAGUGGCUUACCAAGGCUUUGACGGGUAGCCGGCCUGAGAGGGUGACCGGCCACAUUGGGACUGAGAUACGGCCCAGACUCCUACGGGAGGCAGCAGUGGGGAAUAUUGCACAAUGGGCGGAAGCCUGAUGCAGCAACGCCGCGUGCGGGAUGACGGCCUUCGGGUUGUAAACCGCUUUCGCCUGUGACGAAGCGUGAGUGACGGUAAUGGGUAAAGAAGCACCGGCUAACUACGUG